UACGAAGGGGGCUAGCGUUGCUCGGAAUCACUGGGCGUAAAGCGCACGUAGGCGGCUUUUUAAGUCAGGGGUGAAAUCCUGGAGCUCAACUCCAGAACUGCCUUUGAUACUGAGAAGCUUGAGUCCGGGAGAGGUGAGUGGAACUGCGAGUGUAGAGGUGAAAUUCGUAGAUAUUUGCAAGAACACCAGUGGCGAAGGCGGCUCACUGGCCCGUAACUGACGCUGAGGCACGAAAGCGUGGGGAGCAAACAGG
This 253-nucleotide ribosomal RNA is filed under the name uncultured bacterium. RNAcentral describes it as "partial 16S ribosomal RNA". It matches the Rfam family "Bacterial small subunit ribosomal RNA", at positions 524 to 776 of the family's 1533-position model. The record is from RNAcentral.